GUCUAGGGCCAUACCACCCUGAACGCACCUGAUCUUGGAAGCUAAGCAGGGUCAUUGAAUUAGACAAGGCUGUGGUCCUAGUGUGAUUAGAUUGCCUAGUUU
This 102-nucleotide ribosomal RNA is filed under the name Ovis aries (sheep). The record is from RNAcentral. Lineage: Eukaryota; Metazoa; Chordata; Mammalia; Artiodactyla; Bovidae.